RNAcentral lists this ribosomal RNA (466 nucleotides) under uncultured bacterium. RNAcentral describes it as "partial 16S ribosomal RNA". It matches the Rfam family "Bacterial small subunit ribosomal RNA", at positions 28 to 507 of the family's 1533-position model. The record is from RNAcentral.
GAUGAACGCUGGCGGCGUGCUUAACACAUGCAAGUCGAACGAUGAAGCCCAGCUUGCUGGGUGGAUUAGUGGCGAACGGGUGAGUAACACGUGAGUAACCCGCCCUUAACUCUGGGAUAAGCCUGGGAAACUGGGUCUAAUACCGGAUAGGAGCGUCCACCGCAUGGUGGGUGUUGGAAAGAUUUAUCGGUUUUGGAUGGACUCGCGGCCUAUCAGCUUGUUGGUGAGGUAAUGGCUCACCAAGGCGACGACGGGUAGCCGGCCUGAGAGGGUGACCGGCCACACUGGGACUGAGACACGGCCCAGACUCCUACGGGAGGCAGCAGUGGGGAAUAUUGCACAAUGGGCGCAAGCCUGAUGCAGCGACGCCGCGUGAGGGAUGACGGCCUUCGGGUUGUAAACCUCUUUCAGUAGGGAAGAAGCGAAAGUGACGGUACCUGCAGAAGAAGCACCGGCUAACUACGUG